AUUGAACGCUGGCGGAAUGCUUUACACAUGCAAGUCGAACGGCAGCACGGGGGCAACCCUGGUGGCGAGUGGCGAACGGGUGAGUAAUACAUCGGAACGUGCUCAGUCGUGGGGGAUAACGUAGCGAAAGCUACGCUAAUACCGCAUACGAACUACGGGUGAAAGCGGGGGAUCGCAAGACCUCGCGCUAUCCGAGCGGCCGAUGGCAGAUUAGGUAGUUGGUGGGGUAAAGGCCUACCAAGCCGACGAUCUGUAGCUGGUCUGAGAGGACGACCAGCCACACUGGGACUGAGACACGGCCCAGACUCCUACGGGAGGCAGCAGUGGGGAAUUUUGGACAAUGGGCGCAAGCCUGAUCCAGCCAUUCCGCGUGCAGGAUGAAGGCCCUCGGGUUGUAAACUGCUUUUGUACGGAACGAAACGGUGCCAGCUAAUACCUGGCGCUAAUGACGGUACCGUAAGAAUAAGCACCGGCUAACUACGUGCCAGCCGCCGCCGUAA
RNAcentral lists this ribosomal RNA (500 nucleotides) under uncultured bacterium. Its description in RNAcentral is "partial 16S ribosomal RNA". It matches the Rfam family "Bacterial small subunit ribosomal RNA", at positions 29 to 523 of the family's 1533-position model. The record is from RNAcentral.